GAUAUUGACGAUGCAGAGCAAGAAAUAUUAUUAAAAGAGAAAGGGGAAAAAGGAAGUUGAGAUUUACACACGCGCAGAGAAGACAUUUUUCUUUUUUCCGCGAAGUAAUACUCUCCUCCGACUUGCUACCGUCGUGUCACAACUACCUAUUCUUUACAAGCUAUUUUCUAUAGAGAAGCCAGCAACAAGACGAUUUCUUUUUCUCUUCAUGCGCGUGUCACGUUCCGAGCAUGAUACACAGGAUGGAAAGAGAAAUAUAGCGUUUAGAAUGUUGUAUAUAUUAUUAAUUAAUGAUUAAUAUUAAUAAUUAUUAUUAUUGUAUCGGCCCGAUAGUUUAAUUAAUUAAUCAAUUAUAUCGUGUUAGUCGGCAUAAUUGUGGAUUCAGUUUUUGUACGGUACGGAAACCGAUCUAAUCUAAUGAACGCGAUCGAUCGAUCGAAAAUCUGUUGGAUUGAGAGAUUGGUUACGUUCUCCUCAGCUCGUCGCUCGGUCAUUUUUCACGUUUUAUUUUUCUUCCUUUUGUUCUUUUUUUCUUUUUUUUUUGCGUUCGAGCGACGACGCUUCCGGGACGAGCCACUGUUAUUUAAAACGCAUUAACGAUUGGCCGAAGCAUAAUGGAUCACAGCGAAUAAAGCAAGUAAAAAAUAAAGAAACGUGUUUUUAUAUCAGCGCGUGCUCGUGUUUCGUUUCAACGCUUUCUUUCUUUAUUUCUUUUUUUAUUUUUUUUUUUUUUUUAAUAUCACCCUUUUAUCGACAAACGUAUUUUACAUUAAUUUUCAUAGUAUGUUCUGAAUUUUUGUUCUUUUUGUAUCUUAUGUCCCAUUUAUUUCCCCGUUUUUGUUAUCUUGUUCUUUCCUAUUUUAAAUAACUAAGGUGAAUUUCCGUUUGUAUCUGCAUGAGUAAUUUUUAGUUCCUUCUUUAUUUUCAUUUAUGUUGGACAACACCUCCUUAGGUUGAUCCGAUUUCUUUUUUUUUUUUAUUUCUUUCUAUUUCAAUGUCGCAAUUUUUUUUUUUUUUUUACACCAACAACACAUUCGACGAAAUUACUUUAUACACACGAGGAUCGAUCGAUCGAUCCAACGACACGAUCGAGUCACAAUCGUUUCACUAUACUUGACGCGCUUUAAAUUUUACCUUGAAGUUUUACUCACGAACCUUGACAUUUUUUAUCAACGUCGAAUUCAGGGAGCGGAUAUAAUAAUCGUCGAUAAUUCGAUCGAUCAAUCGAUCGACAGAUCGAUUGUCCGCUGAAAGCGAAAAAGAAAAAAACAAAAAAAAGAAAAAAAUAAAUAAAACCGCAGGGAAUAUCUUGGCGAUCGCGACCUCUCGCCGAAGCGAAACAUUUUCCAAUUUGUUCCCGCCUCGGUCGCGGAGAGCGUUCGCGAACCAAGAAACAGAAGGAAAAUAGGGAAAUAAGAGAUAAGAAAAAGAAAACACACACACACAGAAAAAAAAGCAUGGGUGUUUCGAGAUAUUUUUUCGUGAACUGCCUGCCGCCUGCCUGUGUAAACUACGUUGCCUCGACAAAUGUGUCUAAUUUAUUGACGAAUACGGUAAUUAGCAGGUCCUUUAAGCUGCGUGCGUGCAAAUGAUGGGCGAGAGAAAAGAGAAAGAAAAAAAGAAAAGAAACGAUGCUGUGUAUGUGUGUGUGUAUGUACGAGUGCGUGUGUACGUUCGGCAAAAGGUGGUGAGUGUGAAAGAAGCGAGCAAACAAAGGGGCGAGUGAGAAUGGAUGAAAGAGGGAAAGCCGGAACAAAGAAUGCUAGCGCAUCUGGCAUCGGGUGGUCUUUCACGGAGUAUUUCGUCCGUUCUUUCUGCACGUCCGCGACAAAAGAAAGAAAGAAAAAAAAAAAAAAAGAAAGAAAAAGAACGAUUCUCGCGGCAAAUCGAAAAUUUAGCCAAGUCUUUGGAUUGUCGAGCGAAACACGGGUAAAUAGAGAGAGAAGAGAGAGAGAGAGAGAGAGAGAGAGAGAGAGAGAAAUAACGAACGAACGAGCAAACAUAUAGAAGAAAAGAAUAAGUGUAACGGACGAAAAAAAGUAAUAAAGGGGAGUUGUAGUACGUGCGGCCGUUUGUCUCCAUUCUGUUCGUGAUUUGAUAUUUUUUUAUAAUUCCGACGACGAGAGAGUACGAGAUUGGAGAGAAAGAGAGAUGGAGUGAGUAUAAAUGGAGCGUGUAUAGAGAGCGGACUGCUAUCUAAAAUAGUUCAGGCUAGAUGUCGAUGUUUGUAGCAGAUAAAGAACAAAAAAAAAAAACAACACAGCAUAUUGUAAUUAAAAUUAAAAGUCAUUAAUA
Long non-coding RNA from Frieseomelitta varia, 2295 nucleotides. RefSeq lists it as uncharacterized. The record is from RefSeq and is a predicted model, not a curated record. NCBI's taxonomy places the organism in Eukaryota, Metazoa, Arthropoda, Insecta, Hymenoptera, Apidae. The transcript has 2 exons.